UAGGUCGACCCGCUGAAUUUAAGCAUAUCACUAAGCGGAGGAAAAGAAACUAACCAGGAUUCCCCUAGUAACGGCGAGUGAAGAGGGAAAAGCCCAGCACCGAAGCCUGUGGCAAUUUUGCUGCUAGGCAAUGUGGUGUUUAGGUCGGCUCGUGGGAUCGCCACUCCACUCGAAGUCCAGCAUUGAGUAUGGUUCCCAGGAAUUGGCCCAUAGAGGGUGAAAGGCCCGUACGAGUGGAUGUGUCAGAUAUGUAAGGCGAUUCACCAGGCCGGCCUUAGAGUCGGGUUGUUUGCGAAUGCAGCCCAAAGUGGGUGGUAAACUCCAUCCAAGGCUAAAUACUAGCACGAGUCCGAUAGCGAACAAGUACCGUGAGGGAAAGUUGAAAAGUACUUUGAAGAGAGAGUAAACAGUACGUGAAACCGCAUAGAGGUAAACGGGUGGCGUCAAGCUGCAAGCCCAGAGAAUUCAGUCGGUCAGGGUGUUGUCAUGCGCCCAGCGCAUCUAUCAGUCGGUGUAGAAUUUGGCUAGUCCGCUUGAAGAUGGCGGGCCCAGCUAGCAAUAGCUGGGAUUUGCGUACCGGGCGGUAGCCGGAGCAUGCUAGCCGUCUGUAGGACUGCCUGGCCGAUGCACUUUCUCUGUUGGUGAACACCACGACCGGUGGUACUGCCAGUCUGCUGUAGCCAGCUUCGUUGCAUACUCUGUCCUUUUGGUUGGGGCGUGUGGCGAUCACAGACAAUUUCAGUGCACGGUGCUUGUGUGUUUUUCGCAUGCGGGCAUGUUAUCGGGAACUGGUUGUAAACGGGUCGGCCUGUCGACUUGUCUGUAGUCGUGGUUGAUGGGUGACCCGGUGGGCUAUGGUGGUAUGAAUAACUGUGCAGGGCACCGGAGUUUUCGGUCCGACCAGCAGUAGUCGUUCGCGGCUGCUGUUGCCGGCUGCAUACGCACUGCAGUUUAGCGUGUGCACUGUCUUUGGCAGUAGUACGGGCGGCGCUGUUUACGGCCUGCCAGUCGUUGGGUCUGAUUGUCGUGUCGCCUGCCAAAAUGGUGGGUCCGGCGGUGGCCUGGCGUUGGAUGGUGCCUGUAGACGGAGCUGUCGUUGUGCAGCCGGUGUUUGUGUGCGCGACCUUAUAGUCUGUGGUGUAGUGGUAGACGAGCUACCCGACCCGUCUUGAAACACGGACCAAGGAGUUUAACAUGCGCGCGAGUCAUUGGGUCCUACGAAACCCAGAGGCGCAGUGAAAGUAAAGCUUCGACAUAUAUUGUUCUCGAGGUGUGGUGAGAUCCUGCUGUUUCUCGCAUACAUUUGUCCAGCACUGGGCUAACUAAACGAGCAGUGGGCGCAUCACCGGCCCGUCCCAUGAUGUGGCUAUCUGUCAGUGGCAGUUGUCGCCUUACGGUGGUGGUUGCUUUCUGCGGGUACGUCAUCGGGGCGGAGCAUGAGCGCGCAUGUUGAGACCCGAAAGAUGGUGAACUAUGCUUGCGUAGGUUGAAGCCAGAGGAAACUCUGGUGGAGGACCGCAGCGAUUCUGACGUGCAAAUCGAUCGUCAAACGUGAGUAUAGGGGCGAAAGACUAAUCGAACCAUCUAGUAGCUGGUUCCCUCCGAAGUUUCCCUCAGGAUAGC
Molecule: ribosomal RNA, 1623 nt
Filed under: Caryophyllaeus laticeps
Lineage: Eukaryota; Metazoa; Platyhelminthes; Cestoda; Caryophyllidea; Caryophyllaeidae
Description: partial large subunit ribosomal RNA
Rfam family: Eukaryotic large subunit ribosomal RNA
Source: RNAcentral